This 225-nucleotide non-coding RNA is filed under the name Bacillus sp. (in: firmicutes). Its description in RNAcentral is "Bacillus sp. T-box sequence". It matches the Rfam family "T-box leader". From Rfam's summary of the family: Uncharged tRNA acts as the effector for transcription antitermination of genes in the T-box leader family. T-boxes are found upstream of many aminoacyl-tRNA synthetase genes and some amino acid biosynthetic genes usually in Gram-positive bacteria. Lineage: Bacteria; Bacillati; Bacillota; Bacilli; Caryophanales; Bacillaceae. The record is from RNAcentral.
UCUAAAGCGAUGAAAGAAAAUAGUAGCAAGUUCUAAAUUUAUAGAGAGUCGGUGGUUGGUGCAAACCGAUAAUGAAGACUUGUGAAUCCAUUCUUGAGCGAGUUACGGAAUGCUUUUAGCUAGUAAGUAACUCCGGUAAUAUAGUCCGUUAACUAUACUAAGGUGGAAGAAUUACUUAUUAAUUCUUCAAUUAGGGUGGCAACGCGGGUAGCUCUCGUCCCUUUU